GAGUGCAUACCAGCUCACCACGGUUGCAACCCCAGGGUUCCUGCAAGACUUGCCAGCAGCCCCACCCCUUCUCUCCUCAGAGGCUCUUCUUACUUUGGGAAGGGGUCGGGACUCAAGGCUUUCAGGAGCUUCCUGAGUCUCUUUCCAGAAGGGAAGGUUUCAUCCUGCAGGAACUAACGGCAGAAGUCACAGAAAUGCUGCCAGCACUGAUACACACCUACUAGUUUACAUCCAGCAAGAAAGGGAAAACCUUCCAGACAUGGAAUAGAUGUUCUUCCUGGUUUGUUUCUGUGAUAUCGAGGAUUGGACUGGAACCCCAGGCCUGGUUCUCUUCAUUCCUUUUUGAUUUUGUUUUCCCAGUGUCCUGGUGGUGCUCUCCAUCAUUUUUGUGAGACAGGGUCUCUUUCACUGAACGUGGUUGGAACUCACCAGUUGAUUAGACCGGCUAACCAGUGAGAUCCAGGGUUCCACCUCUAUCCUGAAUGCUGGAGUGAAUGAUGUGUGUCAUGUCCACUUUUAUAUGCAUGUUGGGCAUAUGAACUCAGGUCCUCAUGCUUUUGCAAGCUGGUACUUUACCAGCUGAGCCCUCUCCCCAACCCCAGACCAUGCAUUUUUUUCCCAGUGGUGAAUAUAUGCUGGCUAGUUUUUUGUCAGCUUGAGACAACCUGGAGUUGUUUUGAAGAGGGAACUUCAACUGAAGGAACUUCAACUAAGGAAACACUCCCAUCAGACUGGCUUAAUGACAAGUCUAAGGUGCAUUUUCUUGAUUGAUGAUUGAUGUGGGAGGGCCAAAUACACUGCAGGCAUGACUCCUCUAUAGCCUCUAUGUCAAUUCCUGCCUCCAGGUUCCUGCCCUUACUUCCCUGGAUGAUAGACUGCAAUCUGUAAGAUGAAAUAAACCUUUUUCUUCCCAG
Long non-coding RNA from Mesocricetus auratus (golden hamster), 914 nucleotides. RefSeq lists it as uncharacterized. The record is from RefSeq and is a predicted model, not a curated record. NCBI's taxonomy places the organism in Eukaryota, Metazoa, Chordata, Mammalia, Rodentia, Cricetidae. The transcript is spliced from 3 exons.